RNAcentral lists this ribosomal RNA (940 nucleotides) under Cylindroleberis sp. NW-2004. RNAcentral describes it as "partial 16S ribosomal RNA". The stretch from base 417 to 572 matches the Rfam family "Archaeal large subunit ribosomal RNA", at positions 1884 to 2089 of the family's 2987-position model. The record is from RNAcentral. Lineage: Eukaryota; Metazoa; Arthropoda; Ostracoda; Myodocopida; Cylindroleberididae.
GAAAUUUUCCCGAAGCGUGAUGGGCUAUUUUUCUAUUAGUGUGUUUUUGUGUCAAUACAAUUGGUAAGAGGGAGAUAGUAAUGAGAUGUUAUACGAAUACGCGGAUAACUGGUUAUUUACUAAUAAAAUGAAUUUGAAGAUAUAGUCUAAGAGAUUAGUUUUAGGCUAGAGUUUGUUUAAAGGUGUGUGUUGAGGUUGGCUUGAUCUAAUGGUGGUAUGAUGAAUUUGUGUGUUAUAACAAGACUUUGGUUUAUUUUGAUUAAAGUUAGGUAGCAAAAGGUAGUGGAUUGAUUAUAGUGUUAGGUUAUAUAAUAUAAUAAUGUAAUUAUGAGUAUUUUGGUACAUAAGAUUAUGUGUAAUUUAGUUGGGUAAUUAGUAUAAAGCUUAAGGGGCUUCUUAAUAAAUUCGGCAAAUAUAUUUCUAACUGUUUAUCAAAAACAUUUCUUUUGUAAUAAUCAAAGGUAGGGCCUGCCCGGUGAUUGGUUUAACGGCUGCGGUAUUCUGACCGUACGAAGGUAGCAUAAUAAGUAGUCUUUUAAUUGGGGACUGGAAUGAAAGGUAUUAUAAGAAAUAGGCUGUUUUGGAAGUAUAAUAAAAAUUGAUUAACAAGUUAAAAGGCUUGAAUAAAUAAAAGUGACAAGAAGACCCUAGGAGUUUUAUACUUAGGUUGUGAUAGUAGCUGGUGUGUUUAGUUGUGUUGCAGUAUAAGUGUUUAACUGGGGCGGUUAAAAUAUUAUCAAUUCUUGAAUGUUACUAAAAUAGAAGGAGUGGUUUAAUAAAGAGAUCCUAAUAGGAAAUCUGAGAAAAUUACCUUAGGGAUAACAGCAUAAUCUCUCUUGAGAGAUCUUAUUGACAGGGGGGUUUGUGACCUCGAUGUUGGAUUUGAAUAGCUAUAAGGAGCAGAAUUUUUAUAAGUUGGUUUGUUCAAUCGCAUUAAAUU